This 648-nucleotide ribosomal RNA is filed under the name uncultured bacterium. Its description in RNAcentral is "bacterial SSU rRNA". It matches the Rfam family "Bacterial small subunit ribosomal RNA", at positions 143 to 807 of the family's 1533-position model. The record is from RNAcentral.
ACAACAGUUGGAAACGACUGCUAAUACCGCAUAAGCCCACGGCUCGGCAUCGAGCAGAGGGAAAAGGAGCAAUCCGCUUUGAGAUGGCCUCGCGUCCGAUUAGCUAGUUGGUGAGGUAACGGCCCACCAAGGCGACGAUCGGUAGCCGGACUGAGAGGUUGAACGGCCACAUUGGGACUGAGACACGGCCCAGACUCCUACGGGAGGCAGCAGUGGGGAAUAUUGCACAAUGGGGGAAACCCUGAUGCAGCGACGCCGCGUGGAGGAAGAAGGUCUUCGGAUUGUAAACUCCUGUUGUUGAGGAAGAUAAUGACGGUACUCAACAAGGAAGUGACGGCUAACUACGUGCCAGCAGCCGCGGUAAAACGUAGGUCACAAGCGUUGUCCGGAAUUACUGGGUGUAAAGGGAGCGCAGGCGGGAGAACAAGUUGGAAGUGAAAUCCAUGGGCCCAACCCAUGAACUGCUUUCAAAACUGUUUUUCUUGAGUAGUGCAGAGGUAGGCGGAAUUCCCGGUGUAGCGGUGGAAUGCGUAGAUAUCGGGAGGAACACCAGUGGCGAAGGCGGCCUGCUGGGCACCAACUGACGCUGAGGCUCGAAAGUGUGGGUAGCAAACAGGAUUAGAUACCCUGGUAGUCCACACCGUAAAC